ACCUGGUUGAUCCUGCCAGUGGUCAUAUGCUCGUCUCAAAGACUAAGCCAUGCAUGUGUGGGUUCAAAACUUUCGAGGUUGAAACUGCGAAGCGCUCAGUAGACCGGUUGUAGUCUGUUCGAGCGUAUUUUUUUUCGGAGAAGCGGAGGAUAACUGUGGAAAAUCUAGAGCUAAUACAAAAGAAGCGUCGCUGUAGCGGGGCAAUUUAUUUGAGAGACCAAAACUGGCCUGGUGCGGAAAAUUUGCGCUUUAGGGCAGUGAGCGAGCGAGAAAAAGUAACUGAGCGGACCAUCGGCGGGUCUGAUGGCAAUUCGAGCGAAUAUCCGCCCUAUCAACCGGUUGGUAAGGUAGUGGCUUACCAAGGUGCUAACGGGUAACGGGGAAUCAGGGUUCGAUUCCGGAGAGGGAGCCUGAGAGACGGCUACCACAUCCAAGGACGGCAGCAGGCGCGCAAAUUACCCAAUCCAGAAGUUGGGAGGUAGUGACGAGAAAUAUUGGGGGCGCUCAAUUGAGUGUGGCCCGAAAUGAAGGACGCGUAAAAAAUUCGGUGAUGAACUACUGGAGGGCAAGUCUGGUGCCAGCAGCCGCGGUAAUUCCAGCUCCAGUAGUGUAUACCAGGAUUGUUGCGCUUAAAAGGCUCGUAGUGCGAGUGCGGGGCGUCCACGAAAACUCGGCAGUAGUAGCAGUGAGUUUGUCUGGGAGAAAUUUGGCGAGAAGCGGAGAAAACCGGCUCUGGUUGGAAUUUCGACGGACACGGAGGCCCCGGGAGCGUCGGUCUAGCGGGUCGCUUGAGUGGGACUGGCUAGUAGCGGACGAGGCGAGCCUUGAAUAAAUCAUGGUGCUCAGAGCGGGCGAACGCCGGAGUGUGAUAGCAUGGAACAAAAAAGGACCGGGAUAUUUCCGCAGUAGGUGCAAGCUUGCGGUGAGAGAGUGUCCACUGCCGCCGCGGUUGGGCAGGGCCGAAGGUCAAGAGAGACGCUUGGGGCCGCUAGUACUGGCAGCGAGAGGUGAAAUU
This 1015-nucleotide ribosomal RNA is filed under the name Ceratomyxa vikrami. RNAcentral's name for it is "bacterial SSU rRNA". It matches the Rfam family "Eukaryotic small subunit ribosomal RNA", at positions 1 to 918 of the family's 1831-position model. Lineage: Eukaryota; Metazoa; Cnidaria; Myxozoa; Bivalvulida; Ceratomyxidae. The record is from RNAcentral.